Molecule: ribosomal RNA, 229 nt
Filed under: uncultured bacterium
Lineage: Bacteria
Description: partial 16S ribosomal RNA
Rfam family: Bacterial small subunit ribosomal RNA
Source: RNAcentral
UGCGUAGGCGGCGUUAUAAGUCAGAAGUGAAAUCCCAUCGCUUAACGAUGGAACUGCUUUUGAUACUGUAAUGCUUGGAUUAGGUUGAGGUUAGCGGAAUGUGGCAUGUAGCGGUGAAAUGCUUAGAUAUGCCAUAGAACACCAAUUGCGAAGGCAGCUGGCUGGACCUAUAUUGACGCUGAGGCACGAAAGCGUGGGGAGCGAACAGGAUUAGAUACCCUGGUAGUCC